CACUGAACCAUUGGUGCCUGUACGAUAACCAAAGUUAAGCAACAUUGAGCCUGGUCAGUAUCUAGAUGGGUGACCACUUAGGAAUACCAGGUGCUGUAAG
Acanthosepion pharaonis is the source of this 100-nucleotide non-coding RNA. The record is from the annotation of a GenBank genome assembly. NCBI's taxonomy places the organism in Eukaryota, Metazoa, Mollusca, Cephalopoda, Sepiida, Sepiidae.